GACGAACGCUGGCGGCGUGCUUAACACAUGCAAGUCGAACGGAAAGGCCCUGCUUUUGUGGGGUGCUCGAGUGGCGAACGGGUGAGUAACACGUGAGUAACCUGCCCUUGACUUUGGGAUAACUUCAGGAAACUGGGGCUAAUACCGGAUAGGAGCUCCUGCUGCAUGGUGGGGGUUGGAAAGUUUCGGCGGUUGGGGAUGGACUCGCGGCUUAUCAGCUUGUUGGUGGGGUAGUGGCUUACCAAGGCUUUGACGGGUAGCCGGCCUGAGAGGGUGACCGGCCACAUUGGGACUGAGAUACGGCCCAGACUCCUACGGGAGGCAGCAGUGGGGAAUAUGGCACAAUGGGCGGAAGGCUGAUGCAGCAACGCCGCGUGCGGGAUGACGGCCUUCGGGUUGUAAACCGCUUUCGCCUGUGACGAAGCGUGAGUGACGGUAAUGGGUAAAGCAGCACCGGCUAACUAC
Molecule: ribosomal RNA, 465 nt
Filed under: uncultured bacterium
Lineage: Bacteria
Description: partial 16S ribosomal RNA
Rfam family: Bacterial small subunit ribosomal RNA
Source: RNAcentral